This is a non-coding RNA of Rhincodon typus (whale shark), 648 nucleotides long. The record is from the annotation of a RefSeq genome assembly. Lineage: Eukaryota; Metazoa; Chordata; Chondrichthyes; Orectolobiformes; Rhincodontidae.
AUGUGGCUCCUCAGCAUCUGGGUUGUGUCGGGCACAUUUCUAACAGACCUGAGUCAUGGAGAUUCAAUCACUCAGUCACUCUCCUUAGAUAUUCAGACAGAGGGAGCGGCAGCGACUCUAAGUUGUACCUAUGACACUACAGAGAGCUAUUAUUGGAUAUACUGGUACCGGCAGUACCCAGGCAUGCAGCCCGAUUAUAUCCUGAGGAAAUAUGCUUCAGGCAGUGAGGAAAAAGCAGAUUUUGCGAAAGAUCGUUUCUCUGUAGAACUUCAGACCUCGAAGAAACUCACCAGUUUAACUAUUACUGGAUUAGAGCUGACCGACGCUGCUGUGUAUUACUGUGCUUUCAGGGACACUGGCAGGCAUAUAUCCGUGCUAUUUGGUGCCCAGUCGGAAGUAUUGUUGACUCACCUGGAGGCAGAGACAGGCAUUGCCGAACAGUCUCUGAGACUGACAUGUAAAACCAGCGGGUUUGAUCUGAAUGCAUACAUUAUGUACUGGUAUCAACAAGUCCUGGGGAAUGGCCCACAAUGGCUCGUUCGGUACUAUACUGAAGACAGCAAAGAUUUUAAUCCAGAGUUGAAAACCGAGUUGCUGCUUCCAAAGUCCUUACAAAAAAAGUCUUCACUUUGGAAAUCAGACAGUUGA